GACGAACGCUGGCGGCGUGCUUAACACAUGCAAGUCGAGCGGUAAGGCCCUUUCGGGGUACGACGAGCGGCGAACGGGUAGAGUAACACGUGGGUGACCUGCCUUUAGUCUCUGGGAGUAAGCCUGGGAAACGUAGGGUCGUAAUACCGGAUAUGACUCCGCGGUGCAUGCUGUGGGGUGGAAAGCCUUGUGCGGCUGGAGAUGGGCCCGCGG
This 213-nucleotide ribosomal RNA is filed under the name uncultured bacterium. RNAcentral's name for it is "partial 16S ribosomal RNA". It matches the Rfam family "Bacterial small subunit ribosomal RNA", at positions 28 to 236 of the family's 1533-position model. The record is from RNAcentral.